This 253-nucleotide ribosomal RNA is filed under the name uncultured bacterium. RNAcentral's name for it is "partial 16S ribosomal RNA". It matches the Rfam family "Bacterial small subunit ribosomal RNA", at positions 524 to 776 of the family's 1533-position model. The record is from RNAcentral.
UACAGAGGUCGCAAGCGUUAAUCGGAUUUACUGGGCGUAAAGCGUGUGUAGGUGGUUGUUCAAGUCGGUUGUGAAAUCCCCGGGCUCAACCUGGGAACUGCUUCCGAGACUGAGCGACUAGAGAUCGGUAGAGGGCGGUGGAAUUUCCGGUGUAGCGGUGAAAUGCGUAGAUAUCGGAAGGAACACCAAUGGCGAAGGCAGCCGCCUGGGCCUGAUCUGACACUGAGACACGAAAGCGUGGGGAUCAAACAGG